This is a small nucleolar RNA of Nycticebus coucang (slow loris), 108 nucleotides long. RefSeq annotates it as small nucleolar RNA U13. NCBI's taxonomy places the organism in Eukaryota, Metazoa, Chordata, Mammalia, Primates, Lorisidae. The record is from RefSeq and is a predicted model, not a curated record. The transcript has a single exon.
AUCCUUUUAUAGUUCAUAAAUGUAGUGAUUGGGUUUUCAUGUUCAUGUAUGAGAUGUGCCAGCCCCCCUCAAACUUUCUCAUGAUGUCAGCACAUUACCCAUAUGACA